AAUUUAAUAGAACUGACAUUUUGUUUCAGUUAUUAAAUGGUUUAUUUCUGACAGAACAAGUUAACAUGGCUCGGCCAAAAUGAACAUCAAGAUCAGCUUUCAUGUAUUACCCAUGAUGAAGAUCUGUAUUUGUGGGAAAAUGAUGAUGUCUCCCCCAAGUUCACUGUAAAAAGAGAACAGCUGAAAUCUUCAUUUCAGGACACUCAGCAUGUUGAUUAUUUAGUGGAAACUUUUCCUGACAACCAACCAAACUCUGUCCAGUUGCUCACAGGAACAGCUAGUGGUCAAUGUUUGUUGUGGACUGUCAGCAAGGAGAAGAACACAUUGUUUUCUAUAUUGAAUGGUGGUCACCAAGGGAUAAUUCGAGCUGCUCAGUUGAUUGAAGAGAGUCAAACAAUUUUAACUGGAGCAGAAGAUGGCAAGAUUUGCAUAUGGAUAAAAGAAACCUCUUCUGAAAACUUCAAGGCUCUGUCUGGAGUCAAAGAAAAGCUCUCCCAGUACAGGAUACAGCCUUACUAAAGAAAAAAAAAAGGCUUAAUGGUUGAAGCCAUGUGACAUUGCAGAUCUUAAAUGUUUGUGUCUAUGGUGCACGAUGAGACUUGAAACCAACAUUUUUGCUGAAUUUAUUAAAGAAAAAGACUGUAUUUCAAUCUCAUCAGAAAUAAUGUUUGAAGUUUGAUAUGCAUAUGACAACUCUGAUACGCUCUAUGGAUUACAGAAUAUUCAUGUAUAUUAAUGAGAAAUCACUCCUAUGGGUUGGUCAUGUUUAGUUUAGCAUAAAUGAUUUUCUUAAACUCUA
Limulus polyphemus (Atlantic horseshoe crab) is the source of this 799-nucleotide long non-coding RNA. RefSeq lists it as uncharacterized. The transcript has 6 exons. NCBI's taxonomy places the organism in Eukaryota, Metazoa, Arthropoda, Merostomata, Xiphosura, Limulidae. The record is from RefSeq and is a predicted model, not a curated record.